CAGUCGCCGCGGGAAUACGUAGGGUGCGAGCGUUAAUCGGAAUUACUUGGCGUAAAGCGUGCGCAGGCGGUUAUAUAAGACAGAUGUGAAAUCCCCGGGCUCAACCUGGGACCUGCAUUUGUGACUGUAUAGCUAGAGUACGGUAGAGGGGGAUGGAAUUCCGCGUGUAGCAGUGAAAUGCGUAGAUAUGCGGAGGAACACCGAUGGCGAAGGCAAUCCCCUGGACCUGUACUGACGCUCAUGCGCGAAAGCGUGGGGAGCAAACAGGAUUAGAUACCCGUGUAGUCCCUGUCUCUUAUAC
RNAcentral lists this ribosomal RNA (301 nucleotides) under uncultured bacterium. RNAcentral describes it as "partial 16S ribosomal RNA". It matches the Rfam family "Bacterial small subunit ribosomal RNA", at positions 509 to 807 of the family's 1533-position model. The record is from RNAcentral.